This 306-nucleotide ribosomal RNA is filed under the name Triticum aestivum (bread wheat). RNAcentral's name for it is "partial small subunit ribosomal RNA". Lineage: Eukaryota; Viridiplantae; Streptophyta; Magnoliopsida; Poales; Poaceae. The record is from RNAcentral.
AUGGGAAGCAUCAGACAAUGCCAAUGUCCAGUAGUAAGAUUUGAUUGUGCAGGUGAUCAAGCCAAGAUAAGUGUUAUCCUAGACCACUUGGGGACAAUAUCAUCCAUUUCUUGCAUACUGCAAUGCAAGUUCAAAAAGCCAGUUUCUUAUUAUCUCUGUGUUCACCUAACUGCCAAGAAUCAUAAAAGGAUGCACCUAAUGAGGGAGCUGCACAGAUUUGGAACAACUUCCAGAACAGGCAUCCAAGAAUUUUGGUUUGGUACCACUAAGCUGCCAGAGCAAGAUAGCUGGGAUGUGAGUCCCUAG